AGUGAACGCUGGCGGUAGGCCUAACACAUGCAAGUCGAACGGCAGCACAUUAAGAGCUUGCUCUUACGGGUGGCGAGUGGCGGACGGGUGAGGAAUACAUCGGAAUCUACUUUUUCGUGGGGGAUAACGUAGGGAAACUUACGCUAAUACCGCAUACGACCUACGGGUGAAAGCAGGGGAUCUUCGGACCUUGCGCGAUUGAAUGAGCCGAUGUCGGAUUAGCUAGUUGGCGGGGUAAAGGCCCACCAAGGAGAGGAUCCGUAGCUGGUCUGGGAGGGUGGUCGGCCACACUGGAACUGAGACACGGUCAAGACUCCUACGGGAGGCAGCAGUGGGGAAUAUUGGACAAUGGGCGCAAGCCUGAUCCAGCCAUACCGCGUGGGUGAAGAAGGCCUUCGGGUUGUAAAGCCGUUUUGUUGGGAAAGAAAAGCAGCAGGUUAAUACCCCGCUGUUCUGACGGUACCCAAAGAAUAAGCACCGGCUAACUUCGUG
RNAcentral lists this ribosomal RNA (492 nucleotides) under uncultured bacterium. Its description in RNAcentral is "partial 16S ribosomal RNA". It matches the Rfam family "Bacterial small subunit ribosomal RNA", at positions 29 to 507 of the family's 1533-position model. The record is from RNAcentral.